RNAcentral lists this ribosomal RNA (465 nucleotides) under uncultured bacterium. Its description in RNAcentral is "partial 16S ribosomal RNA". It matches the Rfam family "Bacterial small subunit ribosomal RNA", at positions 28 to 507 of the family's 1533-position model. The record is from RNAcentral.
GACGAACGCUGGCGGCGUGCUUAACACAUGCAAGUCGAACGGAAAGGCCCUGCUUGCAGGGUACUCGAGUGGCGAACGGGUGAGUAACACGUGGGUGAUCUGCCCUGCACUUCGGGAUAAGCCUGGGAAACUGGGUCUAAUACCGGAUAGGAGCCAUUUUUAGUGUGAUGGUUGGAAAGUUUUGUCGGUGUAGGAUGAGCUCGCGGCCUAUCAGCUUGUUGGUGGGGUAAUGGCCUACCAAGGCGGCGACGGGUAGCCGGCCUGAGAGGGUGGACGGCCACAUUGGGACUGAGAUGCGGCCCAGACUGCUACGGGAGGCAGCAGUGGGGAAUAUUGCACAAUGGGCGCAAGCCUGAUGCAGCGACGCCGCGUGGGGGAUGACGGCCUUCGGGUUGUAAACUCCUUUCGCUAGGGACGAAGCUUUUUGUGACGGUACCUAGAUAAGAAGCACCGGCUAACUACGUG